AGCGAACGCUGGCGGCAGGCUUAACACAUGCAAGUCGAGCGGGCACUUUCGGGUGUCAGCGGCGGACGGGUGAGUAACGCGUGGGAACGUGCCCUCUGGUUCGGAAUAACUCAGGGAAACUUAAGCUAAUACCGGAUACGCCCUUUUGGGGAAAGGCUUGCUGCCGGAGGAUCGGCCCGCGUCUGAUUAGCUAGUUGGUGAGGUAACGGCUCACCAAGGCGACGAUCAGUAGCUGGUCUGAGAGGAUGAUCAGCCACACUGGGACUGAGACACGGCCCAGACUCCUACGGGAGGCAGCAGUGGGGAAUAUUGGACAAUGGGCGCAAGCCUGAUCCAGCCAUGCCGCGUGAGUGAUGAAGGCCUUAGGGUUGUAAAGCUCUUUUAUCCGGGACGAUAAUGACGGUACCGGAGGAAUAAGCCCCGGCUAACUUCGUG
RNAcentral lists this ribosomal RNA (435 nucleotides) under uncultured bacterium. RNAcentral describes it as "partial 16S ribosomal RNA". It matches the Rfam family "Bacterial small subunit ribosomal RNA", at positions 29 to 507 of the family's 1533-position model. The record is from RNAcentral.